AAAGUCUUAGUUAACUAAUAACAUUAAUUUGUCAAAUUAAAAUGACUAUAACUAGUAGACUUUU
RNAcentral lists this transfer RNA (64 nucleotides) under Cryptocephalus quadripunctatus. RNAcentral describes it as "tRNA-Asp". Lineage: Eukaryota; Metazoa; Arthropoda; Insecta; Coleoptera; Chrysomelidae. The record is from RNAcentral.